UAAUUUGAGAGUUUGAUCCUGGCUCAGGAUGAACGCUGGCGGCGUGCUUAACACAUGCAAGUCGAGCGAAGCGCUUAUGAUUGACUUUUCGGAGGAUUUCAUUAGUGACUGAGCGGCGGACGGGUGAGUAACGCGUGGGUAACCUGCCUC
This 150-nucleotide ribosomal RNA is filed under the name Brotaphodocola catenula. RNAcentral's name for it is "partial 16S ribosomal RNA". It matches the Rfam family "Bacterial small subunit ribosomal RNA", at positions 1 to 132 of the family's 1533-position model. Lineage: Bacteria; Bacillati; Bacillota; Clostridia; Lachnospirales; Lachnospiraceae. The record is from RNAcentral.